GUGCUCACUUCAGCAGCACAUGUACUAAAGUUGGAAUGAUACAGAGAUUAGCACAGCCCUUGAGCAAUGCCAUAUGUUUUUAUGAGUGGAUAAAUAGAUAU
Small nuclear RNA from Loxodonta africana (African savanna elephant), 101 nucleotides. The record is from Ensembl. NCBI's taxonomy places the organism in Eukaryota, Metazoa, Chordata, Mammalia, Proboscidea, Elephantidae.